RNAcentral lists this long non-coding RNA (507 nucleotides) under Cyanistes caeruleus (blue tit). RNAcentral's name for it is "lncRNA (ENSCCEG00000013756.1)". The record is from RNAcentral. Lineage: Eukaryota; Metazoa; Chordata; Aves; Passeriformes; Paridae.
UAGAAAAUGCACAGUGUCAAGUUUUAACUGCCUGAAGGUGCUGCCUGUGGAGGAUCCAGUUAAUGAGGAGGAAGCACUAGCUUUCAGUUAGGAACCAUCCUGAGGAAGCAGGUUGUAUGGAAGUCUCCUUCACAGAGAGGGCUGUUGGCUCAAGAGAGGUACCCACUCCAGGUACAGUCACAAGCAGAGCAGUAACUCAGCAAGCAUUAGGCUGUUGAAGACACUUUAGGCAUUCCACCAUCAGAGAGCUCUACUGGAUGUGUUGGGAAGGUCCAGUUUCAUUGUUGAUACCACUGGUGGGACACAUAGCAUGGAGCAAGAAGUUGGGACGUCCAAGGAAAGCUUGCCCAGCUACUGCUGAGACAUGCUGUACCUCUUGAGUUUCCUUCUCCUGGAAACAAUGUCACUGGGAAAGUACCACAUACAGCAUAAAGUAAUUCUUGGUUUUGGGAAUCCGGGGUUUCAGCUGCCAGAAGUUUAUGCAGAGAAAUAUAAGCAUUAAUAAAC